CGCGUGGGAAUCUGCCCAGUAGUGGGGGACAACAUGGGGAAACUCAUGCUAAUACCGCAUACGCCCUAAGGGGGAAAGCAGGGGAUCUUCGGACCUUGCGCUAUUGGAUGAGCCUGCGUCGGAUUAGCUAGUUGGUGGGGUAAUGGCCUACCAAGGCGACGAUCCGUAGCUGGUCUGAGAGGAUGAUCAGCCACACUGGGACUGAGACACGGCCCAGACUCCUACGGGAGGCAGCAGUGGGGAAUAUUGGACAAUGGGGGCAACCCUGAUCCAGCCAUGCCGCGUGUGUGAAGAAGGCCUUAGGGUUGUAAA
RNAcentral lists this ribosomal RNA (312 nucleotides) under Porticoccus sp. SP48. RNAcentral describes it as "bacterial SSU rRNA". It matches the Rfam family "Bacterial small subunit ribosomal RNA", at positions 114 to 429 of the family's 1533-position model. The record is from RNAcentral. Lineage: Bacteria; Pseudomonadati; Pseudomonadota; Gammaproteobacteria; Cellvibrionales; Porticoccaceae.